CUCCUAUUUAAACCUGCUUCAGUGCUCUUCAUUGCGUGCUGUUGUAGGCCGGUACAAUUACUUUGAACAAAUUAGAGUGCUUAAAGCAGGCUCCAAAUGCCUGAAUAUUUUGUGCAUGGAAUAAUGAAAUAAGACCUCUGUUCUACUUUCAUUGGUUUUUAGAUCAAGAGGUAAUGAUUAAUAGAAGCAGUUUGGGGGCAUUAGUAUUACGACGCGAGAGGUGAAAUUCUUGGACCGUCGUAAGACUAACUUAAGCGAAAGCAUUUGCCAAAGAUGUUUUCAUUAAUCAAGAACGAAAGUUAGAGGUUCGAAGGCGAUCAGAUACCGCCCUAGUUCUAACCAUAAACGAUGCCAGCUAGCAAUUGGGUGUAGCUACUAUUAUGGCUCUCUCAGUCGCUUCCCGGGAAACCAAAGCUUUUGGGCUCCGGGGGAAGUAUGGUUGCAAAGCUGAAACUUAAAGGAAUUGACGGAAGGGCACCACCAGGAGUGGAGCCUGCGGCUUAAUUUGACACAACACGGGAAAACUUACCAGGUCCGAACAUAAGCGUGUAAGACAGAUUGAUAGCUCUUUCUCGAAUCUAUGGGUGGUGGUGCAUGGCCGUUCUUAGUUCGUGGAGUGAUUUGUCUGGUUAAUUCCGAUAACGAACGAGACUCAAAUAUAUUAAAUAGAUGCUUUCAGGAUUAUGGUGUUUGAAGCUUUUAUAGCCUUCAUUCAUGAAUGCAGUAACAUGUGUGAGUGUUUGAAUGUGUUUAUAAAGGUGGAGCCGUACCUGUUGGUUUGUCCCAUUAUAAGGACACUAGCUUCUUAAAUGGACAAAUUGCGUCUAGCAAUAAUGAGAUUGAGCAAUAACAGGUCUGUGAUGCCCUUAGAUGUCCUGGGCUGCACGCGCGCUACAAUGAAAGUAUCAACGUGUAUUUCCUAGACCGAGAGGUCCGGGUAAACCGCUGAACCACUUUCAUGCUUGGGAUUGUGAACUGAAACUGUUCACAUGAACUUGGAAUUCCCAGUAAGUGUGAGUCAUUAACUCGCAUUGAUUACGUCCCUGCCCUUUGUACACACCGCCCGUCGCUACUACCGAUUGAAUUAUUUAGUGAGGUCUCCGGACGUGAUCACUGUAACGCCUUGCGUGUUACGGAUGUUUCGCAAAAGUUGACCGAACUUGAUUAUUUAGAGGAAGUAAAAGUC
RNAcentral lists this ribosomal RNA (1186 nucleotides) under metagenome. RNAcentral describes it as "SSU rRNA". It matches the Rfam family "Eukaryotic small subunit ribosomal RNA", at positions 695 to 1790 of the family's 1831-position model. The record is from RNAcentral.